RNAcentral lists this ribosomal RNA (237 nucleotides) under uncultured Lactobacillus sp. RNAcentral's name for it is "partial 16S ribosomal RNA". It matches the Rfam family "Bacterial small subunit ribosomal RNA", at positions 125 to 355 of the family's 1533-position model. The record is from RNAcentral. Lineage: Bacteria; Bacillati; Bacillota; Bacilli; Lactobacillales; Lactobacillaceae.
CCUGCCCAAGAGAUCGGGAUAACACCUGGAAACAGAUGCUAAUACCGGAUAACAACAGAUGAUGCCUAUCAACUGUUUAAAAGAUGGUUCUGCUAUCACUCUUGGAUGGACCUGCGGUGCAUUAGCUAGUUGGUAGGGUAACGGCCUACCAAGGCGAUGAUGCAUAGCCGAGUUGAGAGACUGAUCGGCCACAUUGGUACUGAGACACGGCCCAAACUCCUACGGGAGGCAGCAGCC